This is a long non-coding RNA of Alosa sapidissima (American shad), 379 nucleotides long. RefSeq lists it as uncharacterized. The transcript is spliced from 3 exons. The record is from RefSeq and is a predicted model, not a curated record. Lineage: Eukaryota; Metazoa; Chordata; Actinopteri; Clupeiformes; Clupeidae.
CUGAAGGAGGAGUGAACUGAUGAGAGUCUCUCUGUGUUCUCAGAUCUGCUACUUACCAAGAGAAUGUUGGACAAAGACCUUGACAAGUUGUCAAGUCAACCUUCUGGGAGGAUGUGCAGCCAUUAUGCUGCAGGCACUUUAAUCUGGCCAGGCUGAUCACAGAUGACCGGGGACUCAGAUGGGCAUGGUAAAGGAUUGCAGUAGACUCUUUCAUCGUCUGCGUCACAUGUGCAAAGAUCACAGCCACUGAUCCAAGUUGAAUUACCCUGAUUUAACAAUAAAGAACAUGUCAGAGCACAAGCGCAAGUAACAGAAAAUGUAUAAUGAACUAAUUCAAUGUUGUUCAGACAUUUAAAGUCAGGUAGGGUUGUGUGUCUCA